RNAcentral lists this long non-coding RNA (467 nucleotides) under Eutrema salsugineum. RNAcentral describes it as "long non-coding RNA (ESAL_LNC001177)". Lineage: Eukaryota; Viridiplantae; Streptophyta; Magnoliopsida; Brassicales; Brassicaceae. The record is from RNAcentral.
CUGAAAGAGAUUCAAAAACCAAAACUUUAAUUAAAGAAACAGAUCGGAGAAACAGGAAAUUGAGAAGAAAAAAAAAACCCAAAAGUCUGGAUUUUUUUGUGGGCAUUUACUUGCAGGAAGAUUGGACAUGAACGACGAUGGAACGAGAUUUGGGGAGAAGAAGAACAGAGACAGAUGCGUCGAAAGCAGAGGAAAGAGACAGAACGUUGUUGUCGAAUUUAGACAGGUAACAGAUCACAUCGGCCAUACAGAUCUUACCCAAACACUCGCAGUCGCACUUGUUUUUGUUAUCUUCAUCGGUUUCUUCGUGAUUACAGCUCCAGACGCUGAGGAAAGGCUCGUCGGAGGAUUUGAGUGCGGCGAUGGCGUCAGCGACGGUGGCUGUGGCGGCGGAGAGACACCGUAGCGGUGGUUUGCCGAUACAGAGGUCGGAUACCUCGUGAGACAAAAGGGUUAGUGCCAUACAA